Molecule: ribosomal RNA, 543 nt
Filed under: uncultured Thelebolales
Lineage: Eukaryota; Fungi; Ascomycota; Leotiomycetes; Thelebolales
Description: eukaryotic LSU rRNA
Rfam family: 5.8S ribosomal RNA (bases 180-333)
Source: RNAcentral
GACUGCGGAGGAUCAUUAAGAGACGUUGCCCUUCGGGGUAUGCCUCCCACCCAUUGUUUAUUAUACCUUUGUUGCUUUGGCAGACCCGGCUUCGGCCCACCGGCUCCGGCUGGUCAGUGUCUGCCAGAGGACCUAAAACUCUGUUUGUUAAUAUUGUCUGAGUACUAUAUAAUAGUUAAAACUUUUAACAACGGAUCUCUUGGUUCUGGCAUCGAUGAAGAACGCAGCGAAAUGCGAUAAGUAAUGUGAAUUGCAGAAUUCAGUGAAUCAUCGAAUCUUUGAACGCACAUUGCGCCCUCUGGUAUUCCGGGGGGCAUGCCUGUUCGAGCGUCAUUACAACCCUCAAGCUUUGCUUGGUAUUGGACAUUGCCAGUUUCUGGCAGGUCUUAAAAUCAGUGGCGGUGCCAUUUGGCUUCAAGCGUAGUAAUUCUUCUCGCUUUGGAGAUCCAGGUGGUUACUUGCCAAUAACCCCCAAUUUUUUCAGGUUGACCUCGGAUCAGGUAGGGAUACCCGCUGAACUUAAGCAUAUCAAUAAGCGGAGGA